Phalacrocorax carbo (great cormorant) is the source of this 4714-nucleotide non-coding RNA. The record is from RefSeq and is a predicted model, not a curated record. Lineage: Eukaryota; Metazoa; Chordata; Aves; Suliformes; Phalacrocoracidae.
AGCCCUGCUCCUCCACCGGCUCCCAGCCAUCGACCUACUCUACCACCAGCGUUUGUGUGAGCAAUACUGUAACACGCCUGCAUACAUCUUUCCAAAUUUGGUUGAAUGCCUUUGCUACGAGAGAGCAAAGGACACGGGCAAAUCCACGUGGGAGCUAAGCAGCCCUCAAUGAUCGUUGCCAACAACACGUGGCUUGCAUCCCCCAACUAACCGUGUUUGCAAAAUUGGGAAGGCCCCACCAAAGCCUCUCUGGUAUGACGGGUCAACAAAAAGCAGCCGAGUUGUUGACUUUCUUAUGAGUUCGGCACUAGUUACGCCACGCAACUCGUUCUUGUCACCUCAUAUGUCAUCUGGGGGUGCUUCACAGGAAAUUGUGCAAAUAAGGUGCCAUGUAGUCAACCAUUAACUUGAUCUAUUGAAGGCAUCGUUGUGCAAAGGCAGAUGGGAUGAGUUACUCCUUCAAGAGCAAAUUCUACAAGAUGGUGUUUCUGAUCUCAAAAGGGCUGAAGGGUGGGACACAAGCAGCGUCAGGACAGGGGUGCCUUACCGUGCAUUCCGCCGUACCGAGGCAUUUGUUCUGGCAAGCGUUUCUUAUUCCAUACCACACCAGGAAGCCAUACUCUGCCUCAGAACAGCGCAAGUUAAAGCAGUGUUCAUCGCGUUGUGUUCAUCAGCCCAUUAACUCAACUAAUUUUUGGUCAAGUUACCUCUUAUUUUUAUUUUUUUGCCAAAGUCUCUCAAAAACGUUUCUGGAAAGCCAACAAACUCCUCAACGUUCUACUUUGAUAAACAGGCUUUGGACCGUUGUUCAGCGGGUACCCAUUCGGAAAACGUUGAUCCAUUUGUGGGCUUUUGAUGAUUUGUGUAGAAAGAGCUGGAUGUCCCCUUCUCAGACUUGGUUAGCCUGCCCGUUCUUUGUGACAAAUGCAUUGUGUCUCCUACAUCAACAUCCUUGGAUAACUGAAAUUCUGGCACUGGACUGCUAGAUGGACGUCACUUGUGCAGAUAAAACAUCUAACAACUUCCAGACUUUCCGUACUUCCCUAAUUUCCUAACUAGUCUAUGAGGAGGUUAGAACUGAUCUCUAUUUAAACCACUUCUUGAGAUCUUGAGAUCUUUGAAAGCUAGGCUUAGUCAAAGUGGUGAAAAGGGAGGUUGUUCAGUGACAGUAAAAGGAUCGUUGGCAGAAGGAUAGGCCUACGUAUGAAACGGGGAUGGUUAAGAUCUAGGAACUCUGUGACAGCCUGCUGGAGGUGAGCAUUUAAUCACAAUUCCUAAGAUGUGGCCUGAAUCCUUUCUGAGCUGUACUCAGCAUACCAUCGUUGUUGUAGCCACCUUCUGACGGACAAUCUUUUAAAGUAAUUGGCACUCAGGUUUUAGCAAAGAGGCAGCAGCAGUGUUUGCUGAAGACGUUACUUUGCUUGCAAGGCAUAAGAACGGAACACCUUAAUUUGUACUAAGGGUCUUGCUAUUGCAGUAACCAGGUCUUAGGUGUUUUGAUCUUCUGGAUGACUAAAAAGAAACAUAGUUCAUCAGUACUGUUCUAUUUUUAGUACUUCAAGGAAACAACAAAAGCUCAGAGUUAUUACUAAUUUUGAUAUUUUAACCACACUGCACAUUUCAUCCUCAGUGAAAGAAGUUCUCUUCUCCCAAGUUACUAGUGUUACAAUGAGAGAAAAUGGCCUCAAGCUGUGUCAGGGGGUUUUAGAUUGGAUAUUAGGAAAAACUUCUUUACUGAAAGGGUGGUCAGGCAUUGGAACAGGCUGCCCAGAGAGGUGGUGGAGUCACCAUCCCUGGAGGUGUUCAAAAAACAUGUAGACGUGGCAGUUUGGGACAUGGUUCAGGAGGCAUGGGGGUGGUGGGUUGACAGUUGGACUUGAUGAUCUUAGAGGUCUUUUCCAACCUUAAUGAUUCUAUGAUUCUAAGUUCUUCUUUUACACAUAUACAUUGCUUGCAUGGCCAUUAAUUCUUCUUUGCCUUUUAUUCUAAUCUUUUGUCCCUGUUGCUUUAUAAGACUUUUCUGGAGAAUCAACCAUACUAUGCAAAAAUACAAUGCAAUAGUGCUACGGUUCAAGCAUCUGAGAAGUACCUCGUUUUGUGACUGGUGGCAAGGUUUUGCAGUUGGAUUUUGCUACACUAUAGCAUGAUAGCUUCCUCUCAUCUUGCUUUCUCUAGAAAAAAUGAAGCUGUCCAAAAGUUGUAUGGUGAAUUGUCUACAUCACCAUUUCCUUAUUAUUUCUGAGGGUGUUUCAUACUUUUCUCAUUGAGGCAGGACGUGUCAAUUUUUAACAAAAUUUUGGUUGUUGAAACCAAUCUUCCUGCCAACUUCCCAAGUGGCUUUACUAACAUCACAAAGAAGUGUUUCUAGUAGAGAAGUUAUAUGGCAUACAGUAGUAGAGCAGUCUAGGAAGAGUGGAAAUCCAGGCCAGUUUGAGUUCUGAUGGUGGCAGCAAAUGUUUUUAGAGGUUCUUGAAACAUCCUCUGUUAAUUCAGCAUUGGAAAGGAUCAGACAAUGUCAGCCAGGCAGGAAGUGUUACCCCAUGUGCAUACAGUGCUUCCAGUCUGAAGUGGACAACUGCCUACAGUGGCAAUCCUAGUCAAGUCAGGAGGGCAGUCGUUCUCCUGUUCAGCAGAACAAAGAAUGUUCUAAUUCAUGGGCAAGGUACAGAUCAUGGAAUUAAGUUCGUUUGAAAGGUCAACUCCAUUUUGACCUCACUGUGUGCCAUUGUAAUAUCUAUAAAGAUCUUCAUAGGUGGUGGAAUAGCUGAAUUUGAAAUAGUUAUGAUGGUAGGCCACAGCUGGAUGAAACUUGACAGUACUGAAAAUAUUGUAGAGCUCUGUAUUAGAUGGGAAUGGGGCUACCUCUCCAGGUUUUGCUCUAACCGAGGGACCACAGCCAUAUUUGAUAUGCGGGUAUUUAUCCACAAGAUCAUAACUCUUAAUAAUAAAAUGCCUAUCAGAAACUUGUAAUCAGCCCUUUAGUAUUUGGGUGCAGGGCUUGGGAGUGAAGCAUUUAGUAGAUGAGAUAUGUCAGUGAUUAGCUAAAGGAUUUCAAAAGGUGGGACACAUAUGGCUAAAUGUAAUGGUCUACACUGCAGGCAUUAACAUCCAAUCAAAUCAUCCUAUGUUUUUCAGAGUCAACAAAAAGCCAGUCAGCAUAGUCAAUGGAAUUCACAGCAUGCAUCAUCUCAUCCUAAAGUAGGUGACUAUGUCCGGUCAGAUGAAUUGAAGCCUAAAUUCGAUUUACUUUGUUGACUGGAUUUUUACUGAUUGAAAGUAUGGCACCUAUUCUGCAACUGCCUGAAGAAAGGACUGCAAUGUGUCUUCUGAAGAAGAUUAUGAAGAAACAAACACCCAUGGGAUCCUCUUCUUAGGUCUGAUCUCCUGGUUCUGUGUCCGCCUCCUGGAAUUCAACAGGCCCUGCAGCUUCCCCUCAGUACUGGGAAUACAGAUCACUCCUCAGCAGUAAGGAAAAGAAGUGAGCAAAGGAGAUAUGAGGACACUCCAGUGACUACUUCCUCAAGGAGUCAAGCAGCUGUCAAGUUGUAUUGUUGGCACAUCCCAAUAAUGACAAACUACAAAAGCUAUUCAAAGAAGAAAACAUUCUUCUUGAACAUUGUUCUGAAAAAAAAAACCCCAACCACUAACUGAAUCUUUUCAGGUGAAAUAUUCUUUUAAAGAAUUCAUCAAGAGUCAUAUAUUGAAAAGUUGUAAUCCAAAUGGUUUAAACGCAGCAAAGAUAACAAUGUAAAAGUGUCUUAUACUAGAAAACAUUGAGCAACGUUAACUGUAGGCAUUACUAUCCAUACUGGCUGUAACAAAAACAGUGUAACAUAGCAUGUAAUGCACUCCCCAAAGAUACAAUCUCAGAUCAGCACAGGCAUGCAUAAACACUACAUAGUAUAAAGGUUUUUGAAAAUAAAUAUGGAAUGAUUCCAUUACUCACAAAUAGUAUAGUUAUGAAUUAGUCAUACAGGUCAUCCCAAAUAAGUGCACAAGAUAACUUCUUUAUAUAUCACAUCAUAGCGUUACAUUUUUUCAAUAUAAUAGAUAUACCAGAGAGGAACUAUCUGAGGAAUAUUUUUUAAAAUUUGAAAAAACGGUAUUGCAAUUGUUUGUAUCUUUCGAACCUAUGAAAGCUGCUCUAAUUUACUUGACUGCAAUAGUUCAAGGUUCAGACAAGAUGAAGACUUAAGAGUAAUAGCUGCAAAAGAUCUCAGAACUACUUAGAAUUGUUUCUGUAUAUGGAAGCAUUUUUAAAGUGCAAUAAAGGAUUUUCUACACCUACAAAGGCUAGAACACUGGCAUUUCCCAAGGGAAUAGACUUUUUACUCAAAGUUCUGCAGAGUGGCAAGGAAAAAAACUGUCAACCAUCAAAAAUAUAUCACAAAUCAGCUAUAUUUCUAUUAAAAGUAUCUAAGUUCAGAGCAGGGAACAGCGACUGUUCAUCUUCCUGGCUCUAUUUAGAGAACCUGUCAUGUGGACCAUGUCAAGGAAACUGGAGAUGGUGUCAUUGAAGAAACUUCCCUGCUUCUGCAUGAAACAGGAGAAGCCAAGGGCUCAGGGCCUACUUCAAAUCCUAUUCUUUAUGUUAGUUGUUUUGAGUAUACUUGAAACAUAUCAAAGAAAAUCAUCAGUAACUUGUGUAUAAUAAGACAAAACAGAAUUUUGUGCGUUACGGACAUACUUCGUUAGGUGAUGAAACUCUCACCGA